Long non-coding RNA from Rosa chinensis, 332 nucleotides. RefSeq lists it as uncharacterized. The transcript has 3 exons. The record is from RefSeq and is a predicted model, not a curated record. NCBI's taxonomy places the organism in Eukaryota, Viridiplantae, Streptophyta, Magnoliopsida, Rosales, Rosaceae.
UAUGCAUCUUUUCAUGGACACCCAACUCUUUUCUGUACAUACGGACCUUGUUCUCUCUUUCUUUCAAAAGGAAUAGUACUGCCCUGCAAUGAAAGUGAGAAAGUGCAGUUUGGUCUGCUAACCAGUGGUUGGGGAUAUUUGGAGGCAUGCUUUGGCUCAAGUAGGUUCUCUGGUACAAAGAGAAAAGUGGGAAAGAAGAGGCAAAGAAGCAUAUCCCAAGAAGAUAUGGAUGUGGUUAGAAAUGAGUGGACAAAGUUUGUGGUCAAGACAUAUGUAAGCAUUGUACUUGGUACUUGGGUACCCAUAUAUUUAGUUCAGUUGAGACUUUGUUC